CCCAGACUCCUACGGGAGGCAGCAGUGGGGGAUAUUGCACAAUGGGGGAAACCCUGAUGCAGCGACGCCGCGUGGGCGAAGAAGUAUUUCGGUAUGUAAAGCCCUAUCAGCAGGGAAGAAGAAAUGACGGUACCUGAGUAAGAAGCACCGGCUAAAUACGUGCCAGCAGCCGCGGUAAUACGUAUGGUGCAAGCGUUAUCCGGAUUUACUGGGUGUAAAGGGGGCGCAGACGGCAGCGCAAGCCAGGAGUGAAAGCCCGGGGCCCAACCCCGGGACUGCUCUUGGAACUGCGCGGCUGGAGUGCAGGAGGGGCAGGCGGAAUUCCUGGUGUAGCGGUGAAAUGCGUAGAUAUCAGGAGGAACACCGGUGGCGAAGGCGGCCUGCUGGACUGCGACUGACGUUGAGGCCCGAAAGCGUGGGGAGCAAACAGGAUUAGAUACCCGCGUA
This 447-nucleotide ribosomal RNA is filed under the name uncultured bacterium. RNAcentral describes it as "partial 16S ribosomal RNA". It matches the Rfam family "Bacterial small subunit ribosomal RNA", at positions 330 to 792 of the family's 1533-position model. The record is from RNAcentral.